GGCGGCAUGGCCAAGUGGCUAAGGCAAUGGAUUGCAAAUCCAUCAUCCCCAGUUCGAAUCUGGGUGCCGCCUCCA
Molecule: transfer RNA, 75 nt
Filed under: Planctomycetota bacterium
Lineage: Bacteria; Pseudomonadati; Planctomycetota
Description: Planctomycetes bacterium (marine metagenome) tRNA-Cys
Rfam family: tRNA
About the family: Transfer RNA (tRNA) molecules are approximately 80 nucleotides in length. Their secondary structure includes four short double-helical elements and three loops (D, anti-codon, and T loops).
Source: RNAcentral